Dromiciops gliroides (monito del monte) is the source of this 106-nucleotide small nuclear RNA. Lineage: Eukaryota; Metazoa; Chordata; Mammalia; Microbiotheria; Microbiotheriidae. The record is from RefSeq and is a predicted model, not a curated record.
GUGCUUGCUUCAGCAGCACAUUUGCUAAAAUUGGAAUGAUACAGAGAAGAUUAGCAUGGCCCCUGGGCAAGGAUGACACAAAAUUUGUGAAGCUAAAAUGUAUGUA